CUCUGAAUCCAAGAGCUGCAGGGAUGUUUAGGGUUCAUUUUAGCCCAAUCUUUUCACUGUGGAGUUGAGGGCACGGCUCCCUCAGAGGGGACAGGCGGAGGCCCCAGAGGCUAGUUCAUACUUUGUGCCUGGAGAAGGGAGGAUGAACCUCGGCCACUCUGCAGAACCCUGCGGGCAGUAGGAUCUGAAAGACUCAGAGAGCUUGUCCUGAUGUGGACUGGGCUCUGUGCACAACCUUUGCAACCAGAAGCUGAAGGGAAAUCAAACUGCCUUUUCUGGGCUCCCGCAGCACAGUGCAGCUGCCACCUGGCCCAACCAGCUUCCUGGACCAUGGCCAACCUGAGUGCACCUUCAUCACCAUCAAGCCAGACAGUGUGCAGCGUGGCCUGGCUGGCAAGAUCAUCGAGCGCUUUGAGCAGAAGAGAUUCCACCUCAUGGCCAUGAAGUUCCUCUGGGCCUCUGAGAACACCCGAAGCAGCACUACAUUCACUGUAAAGACCGCUCAUUCUUCCCCAGGCUGGCGAAGUACAGGAAAUCAGGGCCUGUCUUGGCCAUGGUCUGGGAGGGGCUGAAUGUGGUGAAGACAGGCCGAGUGACACCUGGGGAGACCAAUCCAAUGGAUUCUAAGCCACACACCAUUUGUGGGAACUUCUGUAUUCAGGUGGGGUGAUGCAUCAUUCAUGGCAGUGGCUCAGUAAUAAGUGCUGAAAAAUAAAUCAGCCAGGCCAGGCA
Non-coding RNA from Macaca mulatta (Rhesus monkey), 732 nucleotides. The record is from RefSeq and is a predicted model, not a curated record. Lineage: Eukaryota; Metazoa; Chordata; Mammalia; Primates; Cercopithecidae.